This 1372-nucleotide ribosomal RNA is filed under the name uncultured bacterium. RNAcentral's name for it is "bacterial SSU rRNA". It matches the Rfam family "Bacterial small subunit ribosomal RNA", at positions 28 to 1381 of the family's 1533-position model. The record is from RNAcentral.
GAUGAACGCUGGCGGCGUGCCUAAUACAUGCAAGUCGAGCGAACGGACGAGAAGCUUGCUUCUCUGAUGUUAGCGGCGGACGGGUGAGUAACACGUGGAUAACCUACCUAUAAGACUGGGAUAACUUCGGGAAACCGGAGCUAAUACCGGAUAAUAUUUUGAACCGCAUGGUUCAAAAGUGAAAGACGGUCUUGCUGUCACUUAUAGAUGGAUCCGCGCUGCAUUAGCUAGUUGGUAAGGUAACGGCUUACCAAGGCAACGAUGCAUAGCCGACCUGAGAGGGUGAUCGGCCACACUGGAACUGAGACACGGUCCAGACUCCUACGGGAGGCAGCAGUAGGGAAUCUUCCGCAAUGGGCGAAAGCCUGACGGAGCAACGCCGCGUGAGUGAUGAAGGUCUUCGGAUCGUAAAACUCUGUUAUUAGGGAAGAACAUAUGUGUAAGUAACUGUGCACAUCUUGACGGUACCUAAUCAGAAAGCCACGGCUAACUACGUGCCAGCAGCCGCGGUAAUACGUAGGUGGCAAGCGUUAUCCGGAAUUAUUGGGCGUAAAGCGCGCGUAGGCGGUUUUUUAAGUCUGAUGUGAAAGCCCACGGCUCAACCGUGGAGGGUCAUUGGAAACUGGAAAACUUGAGUGCAGAAGAGGAAAGUGGAAUUCCAUGUGUAGCGGUGAAAUGCGCAGAGAUAUGGAGGAACACCAGUGGCGAAGGCGACUUUCUGGUCUGUAACUGACGCUGAUGUGCGAAAGCGUGGGGAUCAAACAGGAUUAGAUACCCUGGUAGUCCACGCCGUAAACGAUGAGUGCUAAGUGUUAGGGGGUUUCCGCCCCUUAGUGCUGCAGCUAACGCAUUAAGCACUCCGCCUGGGGAGUACGACCGCAAGGUUGAAACUCAAAGGAAUUGACGGGGACCCGCACAAGCGGUGGAGCAUGUGGUUUAAUUCGAAGCAACGCGAAGAACCUUACCAAAUCUUGACAUCCUUUGACAACUCUAGAGAUAGAGCCUUCCCCUUCGGGGGACAAAGUGACAGGUGGUGCAUGGUUGUCGUCAGCUCGUGUCGUGAGAUGUUGGGUUAAGUCCCGCAACGAGCGCAACCCUUAAGCUUAGUUGCCAUCAUUAAGUUGGGCACUCUAAGUUGACUGCCGGUGACAAACCGGAGGAAGGUGGGGAUGGCGUCAAAUCAUCAUGCCCCUUAUGAUUUGGGCUACACACGUGCUACAAUGGACAAUACAAAGGGCAGCGAAACCGCGAGGUCAAGCAAAUCCCAUAAAGUUGUUCUCAGUUCGGAUUGUAGUCUGCAACUCGACUACAUGAAGCUGGAAUCGCUAGUAAUCGUAGAUCAGCAUGCUACGGUGAAUACGUUCCCGGGUCU